AACGCUGGCGGCAGGCCUAACACAUGCAAGUCGAGCGGUAGCACAGGGAGCUUGCUCCUGGGUGACGAGCGGCGGACGGGUGAGUAAUGUCUGGGAAACUGCCUGAUGGAGGGGGAUAACUACUGGAAACGGUAGCUAAUACCGCAUAACGUCUUCGGACCAAAGAGGGGGACCUUCGGGCCUCUUGCCAUCAGAUGUGCCCAGAUGGGAUUAGCUAGUAGGUGAGGUAAUGGCUCACCUAGGCGACGAUCCCUAGCUGGUCUGAGAGGAUGACCAGCCACACUGGAACUGAGACACGGUCCAGACUCCUACGGGAGGCAGCAGUGGGGAAUAUUGCACAAUGGGCGCAAGCCUGAUGCAGCCAUGCCGCGUGUAUGAAGAAGGCCUUCGGGUUGUAAAGUACUUUCAGCGAGGAGGAAGGCAUUGUGGUUAAUAACCGCAGUGAUUGACGUUACUCGCAGAAGAAGCACCGGCUAACUCCGUGCCAGCAGCCGCGGUAAUACGGAGGGUGCAAGCGUUAAUCGGAAUUACUGGGCGUAAAGCGCACGCAGGCGGUCUGUCAAGUCGGAUGUGAAAUCCCCGGGCUCAACCUGGGAACUGCAUUCGAAACUGGCAGGCUAGAGUCUUGUAGAGGGGGGUAGAAUUCCAGGUGUAGCGGUGAAAUGCGUAGAGAUCUGGAGGAAUACCGGUGGCGAAGGCGGCCCCCUGGACAAAGACUGACGCUCA
This 726-nucleotide ribosomal RNA is filed under the name Buttiauxella sp. RNAcentral describes it as "bacterial SSU rRNA". It matches the Rfam family "Bacterial small subunit ribosomal RNA", at positions 32 to 749 of the family's 1533-position model. The record is from RNAcentral. Lineage: Bacteria; Pseudomonadati; Pseudomonadota; Gammaproteobacteria; Enterobacterales; Enterobacteriaceae.